GAACUGCGAUAAGUAAUGUGAAUUGCAGAAUUCAGUGAAUCAUCGAGUCUUUGAACGCACAUUGCGCCCCCUGGCAUUCCGGGGGGCAUGCCUGUCCGAGCGUCAUUGCUGCCCUUCAAGCCCGGCUUGUGUGUUGGGUCGUCGUCCCCUCCGGGGGACGGGCCCGAAAGGCAGCGGCGGCACCGCGUCCGGUCCUCGAGCGUAUGGGGCUUUGUCACCCGCUCGAUAAGGACCGGCCGGCCGCCAGCCGGCGUCUCCAACCUUUUUUUCUCAGGUUGACCUCGGAUCAGGUAGGGAUACCCGCUGAACUUAAGC
This 315-nucleotide unclassified non-coding RNA is filed under the name plant metagenome. Its description in RNAcentral is "partial contains 5.8S ribosomal RNA, internal transcribed spacer 2, and large subunit ribosomal RNA". The stretch from base 1 to 105 matches the Rfam family "5.8S ribosomal RNA", at positions 50 to 154 of the family's 154-position model. The record is from RNAcentral.